GAUGAACGCUGGCGGCGUGCCUAAUACAUGCAAGUCGAGCGAACAGACCAGGAGCUUUCUCCUCUGACGUUAGCGGCGGACGGGUGAGUAACACGUGGAUACCCUCCUUAUAAGACUGGGAGAACAUCGGGAAACCUGACCUAAUACCGGCAAAUACAUUUAACCGCUUGGUUCAAUAGUUAUAGACUUUUUUUGUGUCACUUAUAGAUGAGUUCGUGCCUGAUUAGCUAGUUUGGAAGGUAGCGGCCUACCAAGGCGACGAUGCGUAUCCGACCUGAGAGGCGGAUCGGCCACACGGGAACUGAGACACGGUCCAGACUCCUACGGGAGGCAGCAGUAGGGAAUCGUCCGCAAUGGGCGAAAGCCUGACGGAGCAAGGCCGCGUGAGUGAUGAAGGUCUUCGGAUCGUAAAGCCCUGUUAUGAGGGAAGAACAAAUGUGAGAGUAAAUAUGCACGUCUUGACGGUACCUAAUGAAAAAGCCACGGCUAACUACGUG
Molecule: ribosomal RNA, 497 nt
Filed under: uncultured bacterium
Lineage: Bacteria
Description: partial 16S ribosomal RNA
Rfam family: Bacterial small subunit ribosomal RNA
Source: RNAcentral